UAUAGGAUAUCUAGAAAUAAUUUGUUACAAAAAGUGAUACUUGUCAUUUCAUCGAUCUGAUUUGUUACAAAAUAUCCUUAUUGUUCAAGGAUAGAAAAAAGUUUGAUACUUAUUAAGAUGCUUAAAUAGAUGUAUAAAGUAAUUUGGAUUAAUACUCUAUUAAAUAUAUUGAUAGAAAAAGUUCAAUAAUUAGAUUAUAAAAAAGUGUUCAACUCUUAAAUUAAAGGAUAAUAUGGAAACUCCACUUAAGUUCAAUAGCUUACAUUUCACCUUCAAUUGUACGAACAACGAUAGAAUAAACAUGUAAUUGCUUCAAUGUUUGUGUAGCCUCUAAAUUGUACAAGUGUUCAUUGACAAACCCUAGUUCUGGGGUACCACUUAUGAACAUGAUAGGUACAUAGAAGUGAAAGGUAACGAAUCACAUAAAACAUUGGGCAAUUCAUUAAGUGAAAAGUUAACAAAAAGAUUGAUAACGCCAUAAAAAAAAAAAGCCAUGGGAAGCUACAUUGGAAGUCAUACAAAAUAUAACAUGACAUGAGUAUGGUAUCUAUGGGACUUCUAAUUCACAAAUGAGACAAGGCCUUUACUAUACCCAAAAACAUACAAAAAUAUCACUUCAUAAGCAAAAGUGUCUCAACGAUAAAUAACCCUCACCAAAAGCCAAUGAAAUGAGUGGAGUGCCUUGUGAGAAUUAGUGCCACCCUGAGAGUCCAUACGUGUAUCACAAAAAGAUGCAGUACCUUGACAAAAGAGAAGUGAUUACAUGUGAAAUAGUACUCACAUGAUGAAAAGAAGCGGUUUUUCGCACAACUUGCUCAUAGUGCAGGUCCCACUUGUAUAUCGUAUUUGGCCGAGCUGAACCCAAAUAUAAGAGAAUGUAAGUUGUACUAGCACCAACUUAUUGCUAUACUAAAGUACAAACCAACAAACAAAUUUCUUGUCAUGUAUAUUUACAAUGGCAGCAAGAAUAUAUGUGUUGUACCAUUAACUUUUACUGUUCUUUACCUCCUUAAAGUGCUUCUUUAGGAGUACUAGAGGUAUUUCCGUCAUGAUACUUAGAAUGCGGUGGAUAUGAGUUGCUGCAAAAGGAGGGAUUUAUCACAUAUAUAAGCAUCUAAGCUAAUUAAAGGAUGAAAACAUGAUUUUUCUGACUAUUAUUUUCUUUUGUGUAAUUGUUGACAUUUUGUUUCCUCAUUCUUCAUUUUGUUCAUAUGGUAAUGUUGAUUUUGAAUUUCUUGUCUUUUCUUAUGAACUUGCAGGAAAAAAUUUGUGGUGAUAUAGGUUCUCAAGAAGCAAUUAUUACCUGCUAUAAGUGUAAAAAUGUUGACGUGCACCAGUAAGUUCUCUCUCGAUUUUUAGCAUGAAAAGGCAGUCAGGCGAGCUGAUUGUGAACCUCAAACAUUGUCCCAAUCCCAGAUCCAUUCUUUUUUUAUUGACUUGUCAUUUCUAAGGGAGAAGUUGUUCUUUUCACACAAGGGGGGUGCUCCUCUUGAAGCAAAUUGCGAGUUCGAUUAUAAGCUUUUGCUCCCCUUUUUUAAACUUAUAUAGGGAUGAAAAGUGGAAAAGAACUAAAAGCCUAAAUGGAAGUGAUAUUACCUAGUAGGGAGUGUAAGGAGCUAUUCGAGUUGUUUAAUCUUUCUAGCGUUCGGAUCCUUAUAGUAUUGGGUUCCACCUAAAGGAUACAUCAAUUCUUGCAUUAGAAUGUUGUGGCAUUUAAUUCUAUUAAGUUAAAUAGGUUCUCUUCUUAUUUUUAAAAAUUAUGCUUUUCUCUUCCUUUCAGAUAUUGUGUGUCGGGCUACUAUGUUGAUGCACCAGUGUAUUGGUGCUGCGAAAAAUGUGAUAAUGACAAAUGGAUAAUAUCUGUGUCACAUGGACUAGAAAAUGUGCAAUCCGAGGGAUCAUCUGCAAAGCUUUGCCCGAGUAGUGUGCAUUCAAAUGAGUUUCCUCGUGGGAGUAGGAAUCGUAUUAACUGGGAAAAGGAGGUAAAGACAGGGAAAGCCAGAUAUCUGCCUGUUAAAGACGGACAUGGUUUGCAAUCAGGCAUGGAGAAAUAUGAAUCACCACUGGGAACUAGUUUGCCCUCAAGAGUGGUGUCAACCGAAUCCAUGGCGAUCGUGACUCAAGAUCAUUUUAGCAAUCCUAGAGUUCAAAUUUCAAAUUCUUUUCCUAAGAAGAGCGCAAUGCAAUUAGUUGGAGGUUGAGUGUUCACCAAUAUAUUUUGAAUUCAUUAAUUGGUUUAAUUUGUCCUCUUUUUAUACCUCUAGUCUUUAGAGAUUUCAUUUCCUAUCAUUUACUUUUGUACUUUCAUCCAAUUGAUGUAGCUUAUUUUUUAGGUGCGGCUGGUUCUACUAUUAUGAAGCAAAGGAGUCCAAAUUCAUCUACAACACACCCUUAUGAUCCUGCUUUAGUUCCUUCCUGGAAGGGUAAUUUUGACAUCUUAGGUGAGCUGGAACUUGCACCUGGUUAUAUCCAGGCUCAUUCUCCUUGCAGGGUUCGACGUAAGGUUUAUGAGUUCUCAGGGCGAUUGCCUGAUACUCUUAAACUUGAAUUAGUUCCCCGUGGGGAUAUCUGGGCAAGUCUGUUUAACGGUUAUAUUCCGGAUAAAGAAGACAUAGGACUCUAUUUCUUCGCAAGUGAAAGAGAAAGGUCAGCUUCUAUAUACCCUAUAUAUCUACCAAGUAAAAGGGAUCAGGGGUGCAAAGUAGAAGAGCGCCCUUGCCCAAGAUUAUUUUUACUAGAUAUUGACUUGAAUUUCCCAUUAUUUGUAGGUCUGACAGAUAUAUCGCCCUGGUGGAGUUCAUGCAUAGCAAGGAUUUGGUGUUGAGAACUCUUAUCAAUGAUGUUGAGUUGAUUAUACUGACAUCCACAGCCCUAUGCAGCGAUUCUCAAAGUUGGAACAGUGAGCACUUCUUGUGGGGAUUAUUUUACCGCAUGGGACAAGACACGGAUGGAUGUGCUGAAGGAGGCAGCAACAAAGUGGUUGACAUGGAGAUAGACAUGAUAGCUGGAGAAGAUGUAGGAACGCUGGACAUUGUGCUCCACUCAUGGUCGUAGAUCUGUUCACAACGAGUUUUCUUCAUUCAGUCCGACUACUUAAUUCUGUCUAUCUUGAUGCUUGCAUCGUCUAUCUGACUCGUAUCUUUUGGUUCUAUCAUCCGACUCUUGUGUCAUACUAGCUAUUUGUCACAAAUACUAAUCAACAAUUAGAUUUAUGGUCAAUAUGCGAGUAAUGAGUUCUUUAAUCGUUGAUCGCUUGGAAUCCUAUUACAUCUAUGGUCAGUAUAUGAAUUUAAAAUGGAACAAGUUGCUUAAAACAACUCAGUUGGUGCUGCACAGAAAGAUACUUUUCCUUGUGAUAUGCUCUGCAUUCUGAAAUGUUUGAAGACACUUCUGCCGCUCAUUUUUCUCUCUUCUCAUAAAUGUAUUUGAGUAUUAUUUUUAAAAUUAAGUGGAUCAACAAGAGUAAGAAAGAAAUUAUAUCACCUUUAAAUACUUAUCGUAUAAGAAAAUGUGACAUUCUUUUUUAGACUAACCAAAAAAGAAUGGUACCACGUAAAAUGGGACAGAGGGAGUAUUACGUAUACAGAGUUACAUAUGAUUAUUUUUUUUGGGUUCAUGAUGCCCUGUUCGAAAUCCAUGAUGAGUAUAGUGGGUUCAGAAUUGGUUUUACAGCUGCUGGACCUGUGAGAGCACAUGUUGAUAAAGAUAACACCAAUAACUUUGGGUAGUCCUGUUCAAGAAAUGAAUAGCAAUCAUAAUAGAUCACAAACAUUUUGAAUUGCAAAUAAUUAUUUCUUGGUUAGUUUGAGGGAUAUUCUUGAGCCGAAAAACUAAAUUAUAUUUUUAGAUUAAAAAGAUGGAUGAAAGAUAUUUAUAAACCAUUUUUCAUAAGAUAGGACAUUUUUGCUCAUGUUCCGUUAACUUCAUGAUAAAUGAAUGGUCUACGAACAUUAGUUUGAAUAAAUGGUAAACCUGAUGAUUGUGCCCAUAUGUUUCUUAGAAUCGCAUUUCAAUGAGCCAUCAAAUACUUAAAAAUAUGAAAGAAAAAAAAUCACAUAAUCAAACUAGUUUAUUCAUCUCAUUUCCUGACAAAUCACUAAAAAGAAGUAAAAUGAUUGGUUCAAA
This is a non-coding RNA of Solanum lycopersicum (tomato), 4125 nucleotides long. The record is from RefSeq and is a predicted model, not a curated record. Lineage: Eukaryota; Viridiplantae; Streptophyta; Magnoliopsida; Solanales; Solanaceae.